Gasterosteus aculeatus aculeatus (three-spined stickleback) is the source of this 2448-nucleotide long non-coding RNA. NCBI's taxonomy places the organism in Eukaryota, Metazoa, Chordata, Actinopteri, Perciformes, Gasterosteidae. The record is from Ensembl.
GGCCCAGAACGAGUUUGUCUUCAUGGCCAACGUGCCGGGCGGGGUGCUACCCCCCCCCCUGCCCCCCCCAGAGGCGCCUUCCCCCCCGGGCAAACCCAAAGAGACGCUCGCUCGGGGACUUCACCUUUCAGGACCAACGACGGAGAGACAAACUCGUCUCCGGCUGGGUGGAUUCAAGAAGUCUCGCCUUUUGUUUCUAAUUUCAUUUUCCCUCCAAACGCAUCAUCGGAAGAGCGAGCGGCGGAACGAGGAGGCGACGGGGACCCGGCAGGUCCGGCCUUCGUCCACGCCGCUCCGUCCGGAGGAAAGGGAAGCGAGACUUCUCCUCCGGUUUGUUCUUGGAGGACGUCUCACGGGAAAGAGACUCGCGCCUCUCGCUUUCACAAAGACACCGAUUGUCCGAGGACUGGUUAUCUCAACGUACUCGUCUUUCCCCGUGUGUGUGUGUGUGCGUGUGCGUGUGUGUGUGUGUGUGUGUGUCGUAUUCACAGAACAUGUUAUUUAAGACAGCGGCUGAUAUGCAUCUGGACCUCUGGACAAGCAGCGCCUCUCUGAGCCUAAGGGGGGGGGGCGGGAUCCUGGAUGCCGCUCAAACGACCCCGGGGCCUUUCACGAGGUCGCGCCGUGCUACGUGGGGGGUGCAAGGACGUUGACGUGAACCCGCGUGACCUUUGUGCUUUUUUUUUUUUUUUCUUCCUGUUUUUUGAUUGUUGUGUCAAAACAAGUUUGUCCAGCUCCAAAAAGUUGUUAUCGUCGCCACAGUCCCUCGUCUUCGUCACGGUCCCUCGUCGCGGUCGUUCGCGGUGGAGGCCGGCGGCCUCCGAGCCGAACCCUCUCGGUGGUUUUGGGUUCGAAGCGAACCCUCGAUCAGCAAAACUCUCAAAAUAAACCUGUUAGGCGGCUAACCAUCUGCUCAGCGUUUGGCUUCCUGCACAAACUAGCGUUAGCGUUAGCGUUAGCUGCACGUGUAGCACGUUUUGCAAUAAAAAGCCUACCGGAACAACAACAAAAAAGUCAGAAAGACUCGAUUGAUUUGUGUCUUUUAUCAGCGCAUCCAUGUUGUGCUUUGAGUUCAUAAAGACAGAAGAGAAACGUCCCCAGUUUAGUUUGACCUUCCUCCAGUUACACACCUCGGAGGGAGACGUGUGUGUGCGUGUGCGUGUGUGCGUGUGCGUGUGCGUGUGUGUGUGUGUGUGUGUGUGUGUGUGAGAUGGGAAACAAUGAGCAGCAGCAGGACCACAUGGCGGAGGGAAAAAACCUGGCGUUCCUUGUUAAUUUAUUUAGAUACACAAGAUGCACGCAGACAGGUCAGCUUACACACACACACACACACACACACAGUUCACAGGGGCUAUUUGCUCACACAGACACACACACACGCGCGCUGCUUCAUGCUAGUUUUUGAAUGUAAAUGAGGGUCUCUGUUUCGGUAAUUCUACCACCCUUUCCUUUCCUGAGAGAAACGCGAGGAGCCGCGAUUGAUGAAGGACUGACGAGGGACGAACCCGACAGACCGUCUCCCUCAAAAGGGUUUCCGGGGGGGGGGGGGGAUGUGGGACAGAGGACAGAAAGACGCUUCUGGUCGCCUCCAAAUCCCACCAGACGGGUUCUCGUCUCGCUGCCUGACCUCGUCCCAGCUGAGGGAAUGUUGUUCUUGCAGCGUGAAGGCCUCCUCCUCCUCCGAGAAGCUGGAGAUGUUUGAGACGUCUGAGAGAAGCUUUCAUUUCCUUUCCUCCGCGACGGCCGAUAAUGCAGAUUAACCCCGGCAGAGACCUCGUGAACACAAACACACACACAACAAACCUGGCGGGGAUCUGGUGUCUGAUCGCAACGUGACGGCGUCCUGGACGAUGCUCUGUUUGCUUUCACAUGACGUCCACGAGAUGCCACUAAUAGAAGACGAGGAGACACAAGGAGGAGACACAGAAACACCAGAGAGAGGCCGUAAAACGAGCACGCAGAGACACACAACAGGACCAAUUUACACAAAGUGACCUCAGAAACAACUAAAAAGAGACGACAAAAAGACCAAAACAGCCAGAAAGACACCAGGACAGCAGUAGAAAGACACAAAAUCCAACAAGGGGUGAGAAAGACACAAGACAACAACAACAAGACACACAAAAUGACCACAAAGAGAUAAACACAACCCCCCCCCCCCCCCGCUCGCUCUGCUGCCGGGUCGCCUCGAGAGCCGAAGGAGACUCGCACUGAUUUAUUCUGUUUUAAUUUCUUCAUAUUUACUUUAAAACCGGUAGAUUAUUUGGUUUUGUCUCUUUUCUUUAUUUGUUUACUUCUAAUAAAAUGAAUAUUAUUCAAAGAUGAUUAUUUUUACGCACUUUUGCUCACUUGUACAUCUAUAUGAAAAUGUAAGAUCAUAUAAAAAAAUGUAAAAAGCUUGUAUUUUUGUUACGAGUUCUGAGGGGAAAUAAAUCAAAUGAAAACUGA